Molecule: long non-coding RNA, 231 nt
Filed under: Setaria italica (foxtail millet)
Lineage: Eukaryota; Viridiplantae; Streptophyta; Magnoliopsida; Poales; Poaceae
Description: long non-coding RNA (SITA_LNC005209)
Source: RNAcentral
ACCAUUCCACGUUCCUGCUGGGAGUGCUGGCCCUGUCCUUCCCGCGCGCGCCAACCUCUGGCAUCGCAUCAGAUCCAUCUCUCAUCGUCAUACCAGUGUGGUGAUCAAAUCAAAUAAAGACUCCUUAUCAAAAAAAAAAUCAAAUAAAGACAACGGAGAGUGACCAUCCGGGUUGGUUCAAUGCUCCAGCACCCCGAGGCACGUACGGCGAUCUCAAGCGCUUCAAUUCCC